CCUACGGUAGGCAGCAGUAGGGAAUAUUGCUCAAUGGGGGAAACCCUGAAGCAGCACCGCCGCGUGGAGGAUGAAGGUUUUCGGAUUGUAAACUCCUUUUGUUAGAGAAGAUAAUGACGGUAUCUAACGAAUAAGCACCGGCUAACUCCGUGCCAGCAGCCGCGGUAAUACGGAGGGUGCAAGCGUUACUCGGAAUCACUGGGCGUAAAGAUCGCGUAGGCGGGAUAGCAAGUCAGAUGUGAAAUCCUAUGGCUUAACCAUAGAACUGCAUUUGAAACUGUUAUUCUAUAGUAUGGGAGAGGUAGGUGGAAUGCUUGGUGUAGGGGUAAAAUCCGUAGAGAUCAAGAGGAAUACUCAUUGCGAAGGCAGCGUACCGGCGCCAGACGGACGCUGAGGCACGAAAGCGUGGGGAUCGAACAGGAUUAGAUACCCUUGUAGUC
Molecule: ribosomal RNA, 440 nt
Filed under: uncultured bacterium
Lineage: Bacteria
Description: partial 16S ribosomal RNA
Rfam family: Bacterial small subunit ribosomal RNA
Source: RNAcentral